Cavia porcellus (domestic guinea pig) is the source of this 104-nucleotide small nuclear RNA. NCBI's taxonomy places the organism in Eukaryota, Metazoa, Chordata, Mammalia, Rodentia, Caviidae. The record is from Ensembl.
GUGCUUGCUUUGGGAGCACGUAUACUAAAAUUAGAAUGAUACAGAGAAGAUUACAUGGCUCCCGUGCAAGGGUGACACACAAAUUCUUUUCUUUUCAUCUUUUU